GAUCCAGAUAAUCCAUAUGAUGGAUUUGAAAAAGAUUGAAAUACAAUAUAGAUGACUUAUCUAGGAUUGAUAGUUAAAUCCUAGAUCAUCCUCGAGCAUUAGGGUCAAAGGGAUGAAUUAUACGGUAACCAUACGCCAAUAGGUUCUUGAAUGUUGCUUCGCCAUCAUUCGACCUAUCUGGAUGUUGGGUCAUCAUUGCUAGAUGGUUACGUCGAUU
This 217-nucleotide long non-coding RNA is filed under the name Elaeis guineensis (African oil palm). RNAcentral describes it as "long non-coding RNA (EGUI_LNC042112)". Lineage: Eukaryota; Viridiplantae; Streptophyta; Magnoliopsida; Arecales; Arecaceae. The record is from RNAcentral.